Molecule: long non-coding RNA, 424 nt
Filed under: Androctonus crassicauda
Lineage: Eukaryota; Metazoa; Arthropoda; Arachnida; Scorpiones; Buthidae
Source: RNAcentral
AAGUUUAAAAAAUCUAAUUUGUUAGAAAUUUUUUGAUUGAUUGAUUUAUUUAUUUUUUAUUGCAAGCUUUAAUAGCGUGGGACCAAUGCAUGUCGUAUUUGGGAAUACAUACAGGAGGCGAAUUUCUGAACAACAAUUGCGGUCCUUCGGAUGUUCCUUUAGAGUAUCAAGAAAGCUUCUCAAAAUGCAUCGAGUUAAAAAUAAGAAGCGAAAAUGUGAAGCAGAAAAGCGAAGAAGAAGAAAGAGAUCUGUUUCGCCAAUGCAUACAAUCUGUAGAACUCCUCGAUCAAUGAAUUUUUUAUUUUCGUUUUUGUGAUAAUUUGUAAAAUUUGUAAUUUUUUCCCCCUCCUGUUUGAAAUUUAAGAAUUAAAAUAAAAGUUAUUCUUAAUUCUACUUUUCUUCUGUUUUUUUUUUUUUUUUUUUU